AAAUGAUGAAGAGUCUAGGGUUUUACCAUGAGAGUAAAUGUGUUGUUUGCUGUGUUUUUAUGGAAGAUUAUGAGUCCUAGUUGUCUAAUAAACAACUUUUGUGAAAGAAAUUGCAUGAAAAUACCUUAAAAAGGGGUAAAUUGCUAAGUUGUAAAAUGAGUUGUAAAUGUGUAAAAUAGUUGAAAUUAUGAGUUGCUAUAGUUAUGAAAAUGGUUCAUCUAGACUCAAGGAGUAAAGAAAUGUGAUAAAAAUUAAUUUACGAGCAUUGGGGCAAAAGUGCAAAUAUGCAAAAGUUUAGGGGUCAAAAUGAAAAUUUGUAAAAAUAUGAUUUUUAGACCCAUAUGAAUAUUGUGACUGAUUGGUAGGCUAAAUGUGAUGUUAUAGAUGAUGAAAAUUGAGA
This 400-nucleotide long non-coding RNA is filed under the name Gossypium barbadense (sea-island cotton). RNAcentral describes it as "long non-coding RNA (GBAR_LNC003139)". The record is from RNAcentral. Lineage: Eukaryota; Viridiplantae; Streptophyta; Magnoliopsida; Malvales; Malvaceae.